This 460-nucleotide ribosomal RNA is filed under the name uncultured bacterium. Its description in RNAcentral is "partial 16S ribosomal RNA". It matches the Rfam family "Bacterial small subunit ribosomal RNA", at positions 338 to 795 of the family's 1533-position model. The record is from RNAcentral.
CCUACGGGUGGCAGCAGUGAGGAAUAUUGGUCAAUGGGCGUAAGCCUGAACCAGCCAAGUCGCGUGAGGGAUGAAGGCUCUAUGGAUUGUAAACCUCUUUUAUAAGGGAAUAAAGUGCGGGACGUGUCCCGUUUUGGAUGUACCUUAUGAAUAAGGAUCGGCUAACUACGUGCCAGCAGCCGCGGUAAUACGGAGGAUCCGAGCGUUAUCCGGAUUUAUUGGGUUUAAAGGGUGCGUAGGCGGCCUUUUAAGUCAGUGGUGAAAGUCGGUGGCUCAACCAUAGAAUUGCCGUUGAAACUGGGGGGCUUGAGUGUGUUGGAGGUAGGCGGAAUGCGUGGUGUAGCGGUGAAAUGCUUAGAUAUCACGCAGAACCCCGAUUGCGAAGGCAGCCUACCAAGCCAUGACUGACGCUGAUGCACGAAAGCGUGGGGAUCGAACAGGAUUAGAUACCCGAGUAGUC